GACGAACGCUGGCGGCGUGCUUAACACAUGCAAGUCGAACGGAAAGGCCCUGCUUUUGUGGGGUGCUCGAGUGGCGAACGGGUGAGUAACACGUGAGUAACCUGCCCUUGACUUUGGGAUAACUUCAGGAAACUGGGGCUAAUACCGGAUAGGAGCUCCUGCUGCAUGGUGGGGGUUGGAAAGUUUCGGCGGUUGGGGAUGGACUCGCGGCUUAUCAGCUUGUUGGUGGGGUAGUGGCUUACCAAGGCUUUGACGGGUAGCCGGCCUGAGAGGGUGACCGGCCAAAUGGGACUGAGGUAAGGGCCCGACUCCUACGGGGGGGAACAGGGGGGGAUAGUUCCCAAAGGGCGGGAGGCUGAAGGAAGGACCGCGGGUGGGGGAAGACGGCCUUUGGGGUGUAAACCGCUUUCGCCUGUGACGAAGCGUGAGUGACGGUAAUGGGUAAAGAAGCACCGGCUAACUACGUG
Molecule: ribosomal RNA, 467 nt
Filed under: uncultured bacterium
Lineage: Bacteria
Description: partial 16S ribosomal RNA
Rfam family: Bacterial small subunit ribosomal RNA
Source: RNAcentral